Molecule: long non-coding RNA, 641 nt
Organism: Chenopodium quinoa (quinoa)
Lineage: Eukaryota; Viridiplantae; Streptophyta; Magnoliopsida; Caryophyllales; Amaranthaceae
Exons: 2
Source: RefSeq, a predicted model, not a curated record
UUAGGCGGUCUCUUGCUAAUUUUUCACGCUUACACGCUACUUUUUUUUUACUUUAUCAUUUUCUCUUUUAAUCCCCUUUAUAGCUUUUGGGCUUUACCCCAACCCGUUUUUUAUACUCCCUCCUCAUUUAAAACCCUAGAUUCCUUUCAGCCUCCUUCCUUCUUAUCCCUUCCCUGAUUUUCUCUCUCUAUUUUGUUUCAAUUCAUCCAACCACCUCUAACCUUUGCACUUCCAUUAAUCUCACUCACAGUCCUUCACCUAUACUCUCUCCUUCUCGAUCUUAGCCCCGCCAACAUAACUUCACCCUAUAUAUCCCUCAUCAUCGCUUGUCACGCGGCGGUGCUUCAGCAAUCAACUCGUCAUUCUCCUGCUCGAACACUCGACACUCUCUCUUUGGGUUCAAAGCUUAUACUCAAAUGGAUCAGUUCAUAUUCGAAACUAAAGAAGAAGAUCUACACAAAUGAGUUGUUGAAGUUCGGGAUGAAGAAGCAUUGUAUAGGAUUAAUCAUUUUUAUAUAUGUAAUUAUGGAUUUUGUAUAAUUUUGUACUAUAUAAUCUAUACCAUGUAUAAAUUAAUUAAAUGUAUAAAAAUCAAUUAGUUAUUUUGAUGAAAUGUAAUUUUAAUUUACGAUUUAAAUAUC